Long non-coding RNA from Myzus persicae (green peach aphid), 991 nucleotides. RefSeq lists it as uncharacterized. The transcript is spliced from 2 exons. Lineage: Eukaryota; Metazoa; Arthropoda; Insecta; Hemiptera; Aphididae. The record is from RefSeq and is a predicted model, not a curated record.
UUGGUAAUGCACUGUCGUAUGGAAUACCUCGACUAUAUAAUUAUUGAUACAAUGUCAUUAUUAUUUACUAAUUAUUAGUAACAAUACAAAUAAUAGCAAGCAGGUGCCUAUACGUAUUUACAUUUACUGAGCUGUAUCAUUGCACAUUGUGUGUUCACUUUCGGUAUGACGACAUUUAUGGUUUUAUUUUUAAAUCGUUCAAGUGUGUACUCCUGACGAAAAAAAAUUUGAAUUAAUAUUUAAUACCUAGAGUUGAGCUUACUGCAGCUUAUCUCUGUGGAUUUACACGGUUAGAGUCGUUAUAUGUUUCAUAGUGCGGCUUAUGGCUACAGACUGCUGCGGUACAUACACACGAUACCUGAUACCGGGCUCUUUAUGACCGACGUCAGUCACCAUAUCAUUAUUAUACUACGACCGUAGUGUCCGUUGUUACCGUGAUACCGUUUCAAUGGUUUAUUUUAUUUCGCACACAAAUGCAAAUAUUUUGAACACCCCGACUUGUCUUCGGCAUACUUCUCCAAUACAGUAUUAUUGUAUUAUCCGAUCUUAUUUCGUACGACAUUCCAUAUACAACAUCCACUUGGCACCGGCCGGUAAAUACCCGAUAGGAUGUGUAGUUUUCCGUUUCUGUGAAUAAUAGUGUCAUUAUAGUAACUCAUGUCCCAAGCACUCGUAAUCAAUUGAUGUGCGAAAUAGUAUUAUGUAUGUAUUGUUUCAUGACAGUCAACCGGGCAUCAUGCGAUAUAAUUCGGAGAUCAACAAGUCAACACGUCGUUUCCGAUUUUAAUUUUAGCUUCAUAUUCAGUUAACAGUUACGUCAUUUUACAGUGGCGGCGGUGAAGUGAAAAAUGCGGCUUCAACUAUACGCCUCAAACCAUCAUAAUUAUAAUAUAUGACUAGGAUUAUUUGCUUUUUUUUUUUAUUAUUUUUACUUUUAUAUUGAUUAGUUUAUAUAAUUAUUUGUCCAUGAGUAUACAGUGAUUCGUGUUAA